Molecule: ribosomal RNA, 253 nt
Filed under: uncultured bacterium
Lineage: Bacteria
Description: partial 16S ribosomal RNA
Rfam family: Bacterial small subunit ribosomal RNA
Source: RNAcentral
UACGGAGGGUGCAAGCGUUAUCCGGAUUUACUGGGCGUAAAGCGUGCGUAGGUGGUUUGUUAAGUCUGAUGUGAAAGCCCUGGGCUCAACCUGGGAAUUGCAUUGGAUACUGGCAGGCUAGAGUGCGGUAGAGGAUGGCGGAAUUCCCGGUGUAGCAGUGAAAUGCGUAGAGAUCGGGAGGAACAUCUGUGGCGAAGGCGGCCAUCUGGACCAGCACUGACACUGAGGCACGAAAGCGUGGGGAGCAAACAGG